Molecule: ribosomal RNA, 1013 nt
Filed under: Triticum aestivum (bread wheat)
Lineage: Eukaryota; Viridiplantae; Streptophyta; Magnoliopsida; Poales; Poaceae
Description: partial small subunit ribosomal RNA
Source: RNAcentral
CGAACGAACAGGAGGGUAGAGAAGGAGAGAGAGAGAGAAAGGAACACACACCAAAGACCCUCUUCUUUCUCCCUGUCUCUCUCUCCUUAUUUUUCCACCCGUUCCUGUACCUCUACCGGUACUAAAGUGGAGUCCGGGAAGGAGAGAGGGGUUUGUGAAGGGCUAUCUAAGGUAGGGGAGAGAUAGUAGGACCCAAAGGAGGGUGGAAAAGAGUAGAAUUAACGUUUCCAAAGACGCCCUAUUGUAAACAAAACCCCUCUGAGAUCGAUCGAGACCACUUCCUCUUAGUUGUUCUCAAACCUCUCCCCUUUUCCCUACCUUCCGCUCUCGAAGAGCCCCUACCCGUUACCUCCGCCGCCGCCGCCUCCCCCCGUGGUGGUCCACCACCUGCCCUUCGACUAGGUCUGCAAGGUGUUCUCGAAGCACGUCCACGUCUCGUAGGACCUGGUCUUGGCCUACGAGUAGAGGCUCUAGUUGGUCUUGGUGCUCAGGGCCCGCGGCCUGUCGGAGUGGGCGUUGCAGCCUGAGUAAGCCCUCGAGUUGUUGUUGUAGGCGGCGCAGCAGCCGGAGAUGCGGCUGGAGAGGCGGAGGAAGCGCGUGGCACCACGGCGGUACCUGCCGCCGAGGAGCCUCCCGCUGAGAAGCCCGUGCGACGCGAGGAGGCUACGGCGGCCGGCGCGGCGGCGGCGGCGGCCUGUCUUCGCGCAGGCUGGGCCGAUCGAACCGGGCUGGCCUACCACGGACGGCAAAGAACCGUAGCGGUACCUACGACGUGAUCGCUCUUUCCUACACUCAAUGACUACUCUACAAACGAUGAGGAUGAAUGAUCAUGAUCCGAUCAAGAAGGAACGAAUUAAAGAACGACACGAAGAAGAAGAAACGGCGUUUCACGAAAAGGAGUUGGGAACUACCACUCUUUUUCCUUUUGAAAAGACAUGUUCAGGUACACUGCUACUCGUUUUUUGUGGUCAAGAACUCUUUGACGUCGGAAUGAUAAUGUACAUCUUAGGUGG